Molecule: long non-coding RNA, 905 nt
Organism: Cyprinus carpio (common carp)
Lineage: Eukaryota; Metazoa; Chordata; Actinopteri; Cypriniformes; Cyprinidae
Exons: 2
Source: RefSeq, a predicted model, not a curated record
AAUGUGCAGGGCAGGGGGUCCUCCAGGAGAGGUUUGGGAAGCACUGAUCUAGGAUUUGUAUAGAUCCAUUUCUCAGCAUUCAUUUUAUUCAUGAGCUAAAGCGUCCAAUAACAAGCAUAAAGAGCAUAAUAUGAGCAUUAUAUGAUUGCAUUGAUUAUGCCACUGAGGUGACAUUUAUCAUAUUAGAUCGGUCAUAUUUGUCAAAAGUGCUUUUCAUUUUAGGAGUAAACGAUAAAAAGAGAUAUAUAAGAGAUAUAAUAGAGUUAACCCCUAAGCUGGAAUAAAUAACAUUCCAUUGUAUGGAAUGUUAAAAACACUGAGACAUUUCAGAAGAAAAAAAAAAGGCAUAUGGAUUUGGAACGAUAUGAAGAUAAAACCAAAGAAUCUCAGAUGAAACUGCAGAAACUGGAGAGACGGGUGUUGGAGGAGCGAUUAUAACCUGUUUUGAAACUUGACUGAUAAGGACAUAUUUACAGCUGACAAGAGAGAAGAUAUAUAAUUUGAAAAUGAGAAUGAUUGCUUUUGUACAUCACCGUAAUGAUUCUACCUGUGUCACCAGAGUUGAUUCAGCACUUAGAUGCAACAUUGACUGUUUUCCAGAAAAGUGAUAAAUAUUAUAUAUACAGAAUUUAAACAUCUUAUUUAUAUCUAUACAGUCUGAUUGUCACGUGUAUGUUUCUGUUUAGUUCCUGUUUGUCCUUAUUUGGUCCUUCCAGUUCCCUUUCCCAUUAUUAGUAAGCAUCUGUCCCUUGUUAUUAGUUAUCCUCAUCACCUGUCUGCCCCUCGUUAUCUGCCCUAUUUGAGUUCUAGUCCGUUCUGUUCUCCCUUGUCUGGAAUUGUUCAUGUCAACCUUGGUAUGUGUGUUUUCAUGGGUCCUUUUGAUUAUUAAAAUUAGUCAAAUUCAA